AAACGGUACAUCGUGGCCAUGGACAUUGCUGCUUUCCUCGUUAAAUUUUGACUCAGGCCUUAUUUAUCGGUGAUAUAUUUCGCAAUAUAAUCCCUUUAUGUCAUAUUUCUUAAUUAACCUUUAUCUUUUGGUAACUGCUUAUAUUUAGAGUAGUCGACAAGUAUUGGGCUCCAUUCUAAUGAUUUCAUAAGCUAGUCAACAUGAGCUACAAUAGGCUGUUAAUAAAGAUCUUCUUUCUAGCAGCCGUAUACUGCACAGCUAGCUCGGGCUAUAAGCCUAGAGUUGUGACACGCUUGAUGGCUCGAUGCAUGAAAAACAGACAACACUACAAGUUGCUGACUAAUGGGCAUGUGAAGAAAUGUCUGAGGUAUCACGAAGAAAUGAAAAAAUAUGUAGAGGCCAAAAGGAUUUGUAAAGAAGAAGGAGGUCUCUUGGCUACAUUUAAAGGCAAAAUGGAGGAGCAAAUAAUCUUAAAUGAACUUUACCGUGGGUUUUCAGAAAGUCCUAAAGUAAUUUGGAUUGGCUUAGACAGACUGGAAGACCACAAAACAUAUAAAUGGAUAGACAAUGGAGUAAUUCAUGAGAAUAUAUCCAGGAAUAUGAUAUUUCCGGAUGACCAUGAGUGCACAGGUUAUAAUCCCAAUUCUCAGUUUGUAACUCCAAUGCCGUGCUUCCUAUUAAAUAACUUUUUUUGUGAAUUGCGUUAGGUGUUUGUGAAAAAAAAAAUAUCAACCUGAAAUGUUUUCGUACGUUUUUAUGCUAUAACUUUAAAAUCAAUAAAUAUCUUUACCAGAACUAAUGGUGCUGAUCCUUA
Molecule: long non-coding RNA, 814 nt
Organism: Biomphalaria glabrata
Lineage: Eukaryota; Metazoa; Mollusca; Gastropoda; Planorbidae
Exons: 5
Source: RefSeq, a predicted model, not a curated record